GCAGCAGCCGCGGGAAUACAGAGGGUGCGAGCGUUAAUCGGAUUUACUGGGCGUAAAGCGUGCGUAGGCGGCUUCUUAAGUCGGAUGUGAAAUCCCUGAGCUUAACUUAGGAAUUGCAUUCGAUACUGGGAAGCUAGAGUAUGGGAGAGGAUGGUAGAAUUCCAGGUGUAGCGGUGAAAUGCGUAGAGAUCUGGAGGAAUACCGAUGGCGAAGGCAGCCAUCUGGCCUAAUACUGACGCUGAGGUACGAAAGCAUGGGGAGCAAACAGGAUUAGAUACCCGCGUAGUCCCUGUCUCUUAUAC
This 302-nucleotide ribosomal RNA is filed under the name uncultured bacterium. Its description in RNAcentral is "partial 16S ribosomal RNA". It matches the Rfam family "Bacterial small subunit ribosomal RNA", at positions 508 to 807 of the family's 1533-position model. The record is from RNAcentral.